RNAcentral lists this ribosomal RNA (788 nucleotides) under uncultured bacterium. Its description in RNAcentral is "bacterial SSU rRNA". It matches the Rfam family "Bacterial small subunit ribosomal RNA", at positions 8 to 794 of the family's 1533-position model. The record is from RNAcentral.
AGAGUUUGAUCAUGGCUCAGGAUGAACGCUGGCGGCGUGCUUAACACAUGCAAGUCGAACGAAGCUGCUUAACUGAUCUUCUUCGGAAUUGGCGUUUUGUAGACUGAGUGGCGGACGGGUGAGUAACGCGUGGGUAACCUGCCCUGUACAGGGGGAUAACAGUCAGAAAUGACUGCUAAUACCGCAUAAGACCACAGCACCGCAUGGUGCAGGGGUAAAAACUCCGGUGGUACAGGAUGGACCCGCGUCUGAUUAGCUGGUUGGUGAGGUAACGGCUCACCAAGGCGACGAUCAGUAGCCGGCUUGAGAGAGUGAACGGCCACAUUGGGACUGAGACACGGCCCAAACUCCUACGGGAGGCAGCAGUGGGGAAUAUUGCACAAUGGGGGAAACCCUGAUGCAGCGACGCCGCGUGAGUGAAGAAGUAUCUCGGUAUGUAAAGCUCUAUCAGCAGGGAAGAAAAUGACGGUACCUGACUAAGAAGCCCCGGCUAACUACGUGCCAGCAGCCGCGGUAAUACGUAGGGGGCAAGCGUUAUCCGGAAUUACUGGGUGUAAAGGGUGCGUAGGUGGUAUGGCAAGUCAGAAGUGAAAACCCAGGGCUUAACCGUGGAGGGUCAUUGGAAACUGGUCGACUUGAGUGCAGAAGAGGGAAGUGGAAUUCCGUGUGUAGCGGUGAAAUGCGUAGAGAUAUGGAGGAACACCAGUGGCGAAGGCGGCUUCCUGGUCUGUAACUGACACUGAGGCGCGAAAGCGUGGGGAGCAAACAGGAUUAGAUACCCUGGUAGU